GGACUACAAGGGUAUCUAAUCCUGUUUGCUCCCCUAGCUUUCGUUCCUCAGCGUCAGUAGUGGUCCAGCGCGCCGCUUUCGCCACGGGUGUUCCUGCAGAUAUCUACGCAUUUCACCGCUACACCUGCAAUUCCACGCGCCUCUCCCACACUCCAGCACAGCAGUUUCGGAAGCAGGUUCUGAGUUAAGCCCAGAAAUUUCACUCCCGACUUGCCACACCGCCUACGAACCCUUUACACCCAGUAAUUCCGAACAACGCUGGCCCCCUACGUCUUACCGCGGCGGCUGGCAC
This 292-nucleotide ribosomal RNA is filed under the name uncultured Acidobacteriota bacterium. RNAcentral describes it as "uncultured Acidobacteria bacterium partial 16S ribosomal RNA". The record is from RNAcentral. Lineage: Bacteria; Pseudomonadati; Acidobacteriota.